GAGUUUGAUCCUGGCUCAGAGCGAACGUUAGCGGCGGGCCUAACACAUGCAAGUCGAACGGGCAGUAGCAAUACUGUCAGUGGCGCACGGGUGAGUAACGCGUAGAUAAUCUACCUUCCAGCGGGGGAUAACGUUCCGAAAGGAACGCUAAUACCGCAUAAGACCACGGGUUCUUCGGGGCCUGCGGGAAAAGGUGGCCUCUCCUUGGAAGCUAUCACUGGAAGAUGAGUCUGCGUCCCAUCAGCUAGUUGGUGAGGUAAUGGCUCACCAAGGCAAAGACGGGUAGCUGGUCUGAGAGGAUGAUCAGCCACACUGGUACUGGAACACGGACCAGACUCCUACGGGAGGCAGCAGUGGGGAAUAUUGGACAAUGGGGGCAACCCUGAUCCAGCCAUGCCGCGUGAGUGAAGAAGGCCUUC
This 419-nucleotide ribosomal RNA is filed under the name uncultured delta proteobacterium. RNAcentral describes it as "bacterial SSU rRNA". It matches the Rfam family "Bacterial small subunit ribosomal RNA", at positions 9 to 419 of the family's 1533-position model. Lineage: Bacteria; Deltaproteobacteria. The record is from RNAcentral.